Molecule: ribosomal RNA, 424 nt
Filed under: uncultured bacterium
Lineage: Bacteria
Description: bacterial SSU rRNA
Rfam family: Bacterial small subunit ribosomal RNA
Source: RNAcentral
AGGAUCAUUCGCAAUGGGGGAAACCCUGACGAUGCGACGCUGCGUGGAGGAUGAAGGCCCUCGGGUCGUAAACUCCUGUCAUGAGGGAAGAGGGAACGGGACCCAACACGUCCCGGACUUGCCGGUACCUCAAGAGGAAGGGACGGCUAACUCUGUGCCAGCAGCCGCGGUAAUACAGAGGUCCCGAGCGUUGUUCGGAUUUACUGGGCGUAAAGGGCGCGUAGGCGGCCGUGCGUGUCGGAUGUGAAAUCUCCGGGCUCAACCCGGAAAGUGCGUCCGAAACUGCAUGGCUAGAGUGCGGGAGGGGGAAUCGGAAUGCAGGGUGUAGCGGUGAAAUGCGUUGAUAUCCUGCAGAACACCGGAGGCGAAGGCGGAUUCCUGGAACGCAACUGACGCUCAGGCGCGAAAGUCGGGGGAGCAAACA